UUUUGAAGAUUUUGAGCAUUUGAGCAAGUUUUGGAGCUUGGAGGUUCAAGGAACUCUCUCUCUCCCAUUUUCCGAGCUAGGGUCGUUCUCCUCUCGAUCUUCAAGAGGUAAGGGCCGAUCUUGAGCUUAUGGCAUGUUUUAAGUAAGUUUUAAGUAGAUCUAUGGGGUAGAAUGCAUGUUUAGCUCAUGGUUAGGUUUAUGGGUUUUAUAUGUGUUUAUGAAUAAUGUGAGUUGUUU
This 237-nucleotide long non-coding RNA is filed under the name Manihot esculenta (cassava). Its description in RNAcentral is "long non-coding RNA (MESC_LNC004876)". The record is from RNAcentral. Lineage: Eukaryota; Viridiplantae; Streptophyta; Magnoliopsida; Malpighiales; Euphorbiaceae.